Molecule: ribosomal RNA, 527 nt
Filed under: uncultured microorganism
Description: bacterial SSU rRNA
Rfam family: Bacterial small subunit ribosomal RNA
Source: RNAcentral
GAGUUUGAUCUUGGCUCAGGAUGAACGCUGGCGGCGUGCCUAAUACAUGCAAGUCGAACGAACAGAUAAGGAGCUUGCUCCUUUGACGUUAGCGGCGGACGGGUGAGUAACACGUGGGUAACCUAUCUAUAAGACUGGGAAUAACUCCGGGAAACCGGGGCUAAUGCCGGAUAACAUGUUGAACCGCAUGGUUCUACAGUGAAAGACGGUCUUGCUGUCACUUAUAGAUGGACCCGCGCCGUAUUAGCUAGUUGGUGGGUAACGGCCUACCAAGGCGACGAUACGUAGCCGACCUGAGAGGGUGAUCGGCCACACUGGAACUGAGACACGGUCCAGACUCCUACGGGAGGCAGCAGUUGGGAAUCUUCCGCAAUGGGCGAAAGCCUGACGGAGCAACGCCGCGUGAGUGAUGAAGGUCUUCGGAUCGUAAAGCUCUGUUGUUAGGGAAGAACAAAUGUGUAAGUAACUGUGCAUAUCUUGACGGUACCUAACCAGAAAGCCACGGCUAACUACGUGCCAGCAGCCGA